This 419-nucleotide ribosomal RNA is filed under the name uncultured bacterium. Its description in RNAcentral is "bacterial SSU rRNA". It matches the Rfam family "Bacterial small subunit ribosomal RNA", at positions 355 to 786 of the family's 1533-position model. The record is from RNAcentral.
UGGGGAAUAUUGGACAAUGGGCAGAAGCCUGAUCCAGCAACGCCGCGUGAGGGAUGACGGCCUUCGGGUUGUAAACCUCUUUCAGUACCGACGAAGCGUGAGUGACGGUAGGUACAGAAGAAGCACCGGCCAACUACGUGCCAGCAGCCGCGGUAAUACGUAGGGUGCGAGCGUUGUCCGGAAUUAUUGGGCGUAAAGGGCUCGUAGGCGGUUUGUCGCGUCGGGAGUGAAAACGCCGUGCUUAACACGGCGCUUGCUUUCGAUACGGGCAGACUAGAGGUAUGCAGGGGAGAACGGAAUUCCUGGUGUAGCGGUGAAAUGCGCAGAUAUCAGGAGGAACACCGGUGGCGAAGGCGGUUCUCUGGGCAUUACCUGACGCUGAGGAGCGAAAGUGUGGGGAGCGAACAGGAUUAGAUACC